Molecule: long non-coding RNA, 199 nt
Filed under: Vigna radiata
Lineage: Eukaryota; Viridiplantae; Streptophyta; Magnoliopsida; Fabales; Fabaceae
Description: long non-coding RNA (VRAD_LNC014415)
Source: RNAcentral
AAGAAGCACUCUUAUUUAAAAAGGUAACUUAGUUAUCCUAAUUAAUAUCACAUUAUUUUUAGUUAUUAUACUUUUAACUAUUAAUUAUUCAGUUAUUAAUUACACGGCCUUCCAUAAAUCUAAGCAUUAUAAAAAAAGAAUAAAACACAAUAUAAAGAAAUUUAUUCCAAUUGGCUAUCGACCUUCCUUUUCACUAGAC